AGUGAACGCUGGCGGUAGGCCUAACACAUGCAAGUCGAACGGCAGCACAGUAAGAGCUUGCUCUUACGGGUGGCGAGUGGCGGACGGGUGAGGAAUACAUCGGAAUCUACUUUUUCGUGGGGGAUAACGUAGGGAAACUUACGCUAAUACCGCAUACGAUCUACGGGUGAAAGCAGUGGAUCUUCGGACCUUGCGCGAUUGAAUGAGCCGAUGUCGGAUUAGCUAGUUGGCGGGGUAAAGGCCCACCAAGGCGACGAUCCGUAGCUGGUCUGGGAGGAUGGUCGGCCACACUGGAACUGAGCCACGGUCCAGGCUCCUACGGGAGGCAGCAGUGGGGAAUAUUGGACAAUGGGCGCAAGCCUGAUCCAGCCAUACCGCGUGGGUGAAGAAGGCCUUCGGGUUGUAAAGCCCUUUUGUUGGGAAAGAAAAGCAGCAGGUUAAUACCCCGCUGUUCUGACGGUACCCAAAGAAUAAGCACCGGCUAACUUCGUG
This 492-nucleotide ribosomal RNA is filed under the name uncultured bacterium. Its description in RNAcentral is "partial 16S ribosomal RNA". It matches the Rfam family "Bacterial small subunit ribosomal RNA", at positions 29 to 507 of the family's 1533-position model. The record is from RNAcentral.